CCAAACUCAAACCCUACUUCUUUUUCGCUUUAUUUUUCCCUUUCUGUUUUUUUUUUUCCUUUUCUUUUGUUUCUUUCCAAUUUUUGUUUUUGCCUUUUUUUUUGUCUUCUCCAAAUGCUGUUUUCUCUAGUAUUGAUGUAUGUUCUCUUUUCUUUUUCUUUUUUUUUUUCCUUUUUUUUCUUUCUAUUGUUUUCCCUUCUCUUCA
RNAcentral lists this long non-coding RNA (205 nucleotides) under Capsicum annuum. Its description in RNAcentral is "long non-coding RNA (CANN_LNC018692)". The record is from RNAcentral. Lineage: Eukaryota; Viridiplantae; Streptophyta; Magnoliopsida; Solanales; Solanaceae.